GCCACUUCCCCCUUCACUCUACAGAGGAAGAUGUCAACUGGGGAACCCAUAACACUUUCCUGACAUAAUUUCAAGACCAAAUCUGUCUGCCCCGUUGAUCUUUGGACUCUGUGAAAGAAGAGAACUCAGUCAGUUUUCUAGGCCUCAAAUGGUACUUCCGGAAGCCUACAGCAAGCAUAGACCCUGGUUGUGUAUGCACCGACUUUUACCAAAAGAAAGUUAAUACUGCUCCAAACGCAGUUACAUGGCUAUGGAAAUUCAACUGAGAACAGAACAUGGAAGUCUGAUUUCUGUUUAA
RNAcentral lists this long non-coding RNA (298 nucleotides) under Rattus norvegicus (Norway rat). RNAcentral's name for it is "long non-coding RNA NONRATT005553". Lineage: Eukaryota; Metazoa; Chordata; Mammalia; Rodentia; Muridae. The record is from RNAcentral.